CAGUAGCCGCGGUAAUACGAAGGGUGCAAGCGUUACUCGGAAUUACUGGGCGUAAAGCGUGCGUAGGUGGUGGUUUAAGUCCGUUGUGAAAGCCCUGGGCUCAACCUGGGAAUUGCAGUGGAUACUGGGUCACUAGAGUGUGGUAGAGGAUAGUGGAAUUUCCGGUGUAGCAGUGAAAUGCGUAGAGAUCGGAAGGAACAUCUGUGGCGAAGGCGACUAUCUGGGCCAACACUGACACUGAGGCACGAAAGCGUGGGGAGCAAACAGGAUUAGAUACCCCCGUAGUCCCUGUCUCUUAUAU
Molecule: ribosomal RNA, 301 nt
Filed under: uncultured bacterium
Lineage: Bacteria
Description: partial 16S ribosomal RNA
Rfam family: Bacterial small subunit ribosomal RNA
Source: RNAcentral